AACGAACGCUGGCGGCAGGCCUAACACAUGCAAGUCGAGCGCCCCGCAAGGGGAGCGGCGGACGGGUGAGUAACGCGUGGGAAUAUGCCCUUUGCUACGGAAUAGUCUCGGGAAACUGGGGGUAAUACCGUAUACGCCCUUUGGGGGAAAGAUUUAUCGGCGAAGGAUUAGCCCGCGUUGGAUUAGGUAGUUGGUGGGGUAAUGGCCUACCAAGCCGACGAUCCAUAGCUGGUUUGAGAGGAUGAUCAGCCACACUGGGACUGAGACACGGCCCAGACUCCUGCGGGAGGCAGCAGUGGGGAAUCUUAGACAAUGGGGGCAACCCUGAUCUAGCCAUGCCGCGUGAGUGAUGAAGGCCUUAGGGUUGUAAAGCUCUUUCAGCUGGGAAGAUAAUGACGGUACCAGCAGAAGAAGCCCCGGCUAACUCCGUG
RNAcentral lists this ribosomal RNA (431 nucleotides) under uncultured bacterium. RNAcentral's name for it is "partial 16S ribosomal RNA". It matches the Rfam family "Bacterial small subunit ribosomal RNA", at positions 29 to 507 of the family's 1533-position model. The record is from RNAcentral.